This 433-nucleotide ribosomal RNA is filed under the name uncultured bacterium. RNAcentral's name for it is "partial 16S ribosomal RNA". It matches the Rfam family "Bacterial small subunit ribosomal RNA", at positions 29 to 507 of the family's 1533-position model. The record is from RNAcentral.
AACGAACGCUGGCGGCAUGCCUAACACAUGCAAGUCGAACGAGACCUUCGGGCCUAGUGGCGCACGGGUGCGUAACGCGUGGGAACCUGCCCUUAGGUUCGGAAUAACUCCCCGAAAGGGGUGCUAAUACCGGAUAAUGUCUUCGGACCAAAGAUUUAUCGCCUUUGGAUGGGCCCGCGUUGGAUUAGCUAGUUGGUAGGGUAAAAGCCUACCAAGGCGACGAUCCAUAGCUGGUCUGAGAGGAUGAUCAGCCACACUGGGACUGAGACACGGCCCAGACUCCUACGGGAGGCAGCAGUGGGGAAUAUUGGACAAUGGGCGAAAGCCUGAUCCAGCAAUGCCGCGUGAGUGAUGAAGGCCUUAGGGUUGUAAAGCUCUUUUACCCGGGAUGAUAAUGACAGUACCGGGAGAAUAAGCUCCGGCUAACUACGUG